This 301-nucleotide ribosomal RNA is filed under the name uncultured bacterium. RNAcentral's name for it is "partial 16S ribosomal RNA". It matches the Rfam family "Bacterial small subunit ribosomal RNA", at positions 509 to 808 of the family's 1533-position model. The record is from RNAcentral.
CAGCACCGCGGGAAUACGAAGGGUGCAAGCGUUACUCGGAAUUACUGGGCGUAAAGCGUGCGUAGGUGGUGGUUUAAGUCCGUUGUGAAAGCCCUGGGCUCAACCUGGGAACUGCAUUUGAAACUGGCAGGCUAGAGUCUUGUAGAGGGGGGUAGAAUUCCAGGUGUAGCGGUGAAAUGCGUAGAGAUCGGGAGGAACAUCAGUGGCGAAGGCGGCCAUCUGGGACAACACUGACGCUGAGGCACGAAAGCGUGGGGAGCAAACAGGAUUAGAUACCCGCGUAGUCCCUGUCUCUUAUACA